UUGUCCACGUUAAUAAAAUGGUCAACACAUACGCACUGCACUGUACUGAUAACUGAAAUUCGCACGGUGGCAUACCAAGGACUUUAAUGUCCUGGACCCAUUGAGCGGGCCCCUGGCGAAUAGGUUGCAACCCUAACUGUAACAUGAAAUCGCAUUGUGGCAUACCAAGGACGGUGAAGUCCUGGACCCAUUGAGCGGGCCCCUAGCGAUAUAACUGAAUUUACAACACAUAUGGCAAACACAUAAUAUUAAAAUGGACAAAGAUUAACCACAGCAUG
RNAcentral lists this long non-coding RNA (278 nucleotides) under Salvia miltiorrhiza (redroot sage). RNAcentral describes it as "long non-coding RNA (SMIL_LNC008911)". Lineage: Eukaryota; Viridiplantae; Streptophyta; Magnoliopsida; Lamiales; Lamiaceae. The record is from RNAcentral.